Oryza sativa Japonica Group (Japanese rice) is the source of this 2781-nucleotide RNA transcript. It is a transcript of the gene named ubiquitin carboxyl-terminal hydrolase 25, with no coding region annotated. NCBI's taxonomy places the organism in Eukaryota, Viridiplantae, Streptophyta, Magnoliopsida, Poales, Poaceae. The record is from RefSeq and is a predicted model, not a curated record.
CGAACACAACCCUAGUGCACUAGCUAUCCGCCUGGUUUUCGAGUUUCCAACGAGCCAGAAGGAAGCCCAAUUUUUCCCAAAAGAAAUCCACCCCCGAUAUCAAAAUCCCUUCUCCCUCCCCUCUCGCCGCCCUCCUCCUCCUCCUCGUCGCCGUCCUCCUCCUCCUCCUCGAUUCGAGGGGUGCCGCCGCCGCCGCAGCUCCAGCAUCCGCGAGAGGCUCGCGUUGGGGAUCGCCAAUUUCCACGCCACGGUGGCCAAUCCCCCGCGGCGCGCGCUGGUGGGCGAUGCGAUCGGAUGAGGUGUUGGCGACGGCGGCGGCGCUGCGUGGUGGUGGAGAGGAGGAGGAGGAGGAGGGCGUCGAGCUUCCCCGCGGCGGGGUUUCGGCCACCGCGCCUAGGAGGAGGAGGAGGAGCCGGUGAUGGCGCCCGCCGUUCAGCCGCCGCCGUCCCCGCCCCCGCCGCGGCGGCCCCGCUCGGGCCCUCCACCGGGGCUGAAGAAUCUCGGCAACACCUGCUACCUCAACAGCGUGCUACAGUGCCUCGCGUCGACCCCUCCCCUCGCUACCUUCUGCCUCUCCUUCCGGCACUCCAAUCUGUGCAAGAAGGUGUUGCCGAACAAGGACAAGGAGUGUGUGUUCUGUGUGGUGGAACGGCAGAUCUCGCGGCUGCUUCGGACCGAAGCAGGGGCGCUAGACUCGCCAGCGAAGAUCAUACGCUGCCUGCCGCUCUUUGCCGAGCAUUUCCGGUGGGGCCGCCAAGAGGAUGCGCACGAGUUCCUGCGCUAUAUUAUAGACGCUUGUCACACCGCUGGUCUGCGCAUACGCAAGCGGCUACCUGCGUCAAACGCCAAUGGGGACGCUGGCGAGGAGGAGGUCCGGGUGCAAGGGCCAUAUAUGGUGAUGAAGGAGACAUUUGGCGGUGCGCUGCUCAGCCAAGUGAAGUGCCUCACCUGCAAGGGAGAGUCAAACAAGACCGACGAGAUAAUGGAUAUCAGCCUCGACCUGCCUGGAAGCAAUUCUGUUGCUGAUGCGCUUGCCCGUUUUUUUCAGCCUGAGAUAUUGGAGGGUUCAAACAAGUACAGCUGCGAAAGAUGCAAGAAGCUCACCUCAGCACGGAAGCAAUUGUUUGUCCUUAGGGCACCUAAGGUGCUCGUCAUACAACUCAAGAGAUUUGAGGGAAUAAAUGGUGGGAAGAUCAACAGGAACAUAGAAUUCAAAGAGACUCUCUUUCUUUCUGACUUCAUGUAUAAUAAAAACCAGGAUUCACUGCCAGUAUAUAAUCUUUUUGGCAGUAUUGUUCACUCAGGGUUCUCUCCAGAUUCUGGUCACUACUAUGCGUAUGUUAAGGAUGCUAUUGGUCGCUGGUAUUGUUGUAAUGAUUCCCAUAUCUCCCCCUCAAGCUCUCAGGAUGUUCUAUCUGAGAAGGUCUACAUCCUAUUCUAUAUUCUGAGUACCAAAACUCAAAAGCCUAGUACAAAUGGUUACUCUUCUAGUGCAGCUAAAUCUUCCAACAGCAAUGGAAAUGGCAUAUCAAAUGCCACAUCUAAUGAGCCCCUGAAGAUACCACUAGUAAAACAGAAUGGACUAUGUUCUAGUAAAGGUAUUGCACCGCCACCCCUGAAGAAUGGCAAGAUUGCACCAGGUAUGCACCUCAAGCCAAUCCACUUGAAGAAUAAUGGAACGGGGAAAGUUUCUUCAAAUGGCAAGGCAAGCAUCAUUCCGGGCAAUAAGCUAGAAGUUAGUGAGGGUUUAACACUGCCAGCAGUGAAUGGCCGUGACUCUGGAAAAUAUGCAGAACCCGGUAAAAUGAAUGCUAAUGGUAGUGUUUCUUGCAAUAAGACGGAUGUUAAUUCACAGAGAGUGUUGCCCAAUACGAAUGGAAAUGGAAAUCCAAUUCACUUUUCUGAUCUUCAAGAGACCAUUGAUGCUAAGGCUACAUGUGCUGAGCAAUAUUCUGAAAAGUCAUCUAUUGCCAGUUUGGAGGAUUCUAAAAAUCCUGUUUCAUGCCAUGAAAUGUCUGCAGUCAUAGUAAAGGAUGUGGUAUCUUCGGGUAAGGACAGUUCUUCCUUGAAGCACCAUCUUGAAGAAGGGAAGUUUAAGGAAAUGCUUGCUGAAUCGGCAUCUUCUGAGCUUCACUUGUCUGGUUGGGUGGAUGAUGUCCGUAAUUUCAUGCACACUAUAAAGAGACGCCGUCUACAAAAUACAGGCACGCCUCAAGAUAGUGACACAAUGAGAAAGGAGCUGAUAAGCGAAUCUGGAAGAAUAUUUAGGUCAAAAAUUCCAGAAUCGCUGAGGGAGCAUCUCAUUCAAGCCCUGCGGUCAUAUUACCAGGACAAAUUUUCACUGGGAGGAUAAAUUUUGUGCGGCGGUUCAUUAGAAACUUAAGAAAAUGUAUCUGUAUUUACCAUUUUGUAGAAUGGCAAAUUGAUGGUGGAUGUAUGUUCCAUGUGGUAUAUGUUUGCUCUGGUUCAACGGAAUCCUGUUGGUCAACUACCAGCUCCUUGUGCGGCUUAUUUUUGAGGCAUUUUUGUUAUCCAAAUGAGGUUGAGACGUAGAGUGGCCAAAUUACAUGUAAAAUAUUGUCUUCUUUUUGCUGUUGCUCCUGAUUCUAUAGGCUUAAACAACACCAACAACCCCCAUUCCUUCCCUUCUGUCUAGAAUGUAGAAAUUGUUUUUUCCCUUCUGUACAAUAAUAGUUCGCAGAUUAGCAGUGUAUGGGGUUUUUGACCUUUACUGAAGGAAAAGCCCGUUUGUGGCUUCAGUACUGGGUUUGUUCUGAAUUA